Molecule: long non-coding RNA, 10726 nt
Organism: Gallus gallus (chicken)
Lineage: Eukaryota; Metazoa; Chordata; Aves; Galliformes; Phasianidae
Source: Ensembl
GGGGCUGCAGCCGGGCGCCUCCUCGGGCUCCGGGCCGCGUCCCCUCACGGCUCUGCCCGCGUCCGGGGGGUCCGUUCCUCUCAGCCGUCGCUCUCCGGUUGAUAGUACCCAGCUGCAUGGAAAUAGGAGGAAUGUCUGCUGCUUCAAACAAAUUUCCAGCCUUCUGGAGGUUAUUCUCAGCUGAAGUCAAUGGAAAGGACAGAUACAUGAGAGCAGAGACCACUUUCUGAAGCCAUUCUGUGCAAAAGUUUGUACUAGAACUACUAGGGGAUGGAAAUCAUAAUACAGCUGAAGAGGAAGGAAUGGACUUGGACCAGGUCAGGAGGAGAGCACAGCAGAUAUACCUGGCUCUGGAUUCUGGUGAGUCCUUCAAGAACGUGCAAUCAAAGCCCUUGUGUAAAUCCUACAUAAGUGAGGGUCUGAGGGAGCAGGGAGUAAAUCCUUCCCAAUGAACCUGGACAAAGAUUUCCCAGUCGCUCCUCUGAUUUUCUCGAAGAGUUGGCAACAAAACCAUUGGUCUCCUUCCUACAAGAAAGAAAGAAAGGAGUAAAAACCCUCAGGUAGGACUUGGAAGAAGGCCCUGGCCUGCCCUCAUCUCGACACUGUUUGCACACUGCUCAGCUUACUCAUGACCAUUCUGUCAGCACGAUACUGAGGUGAAGUAGAGAAGAACACAGUAUUUGGUAAUCAAAACGAAGGGAGAAACAAAAGAAGAGGCCAGCAAUGCAAGGCAGUUAUUAAGAGGUGUCUUUGCCACUCUUCAACAUCAGCCUGUUGUGAAUCAUGCAGAGAAGGAACAGAAUCCACCACAGCCUGCUAUUUAUUAUACAUGGAUGAAGCUGAAGAACUAUUGUCACAACAAAGGGAUCCAAAAGCAGUUAUUACAACUCAUCAAUCAAAUAAGCCACUGGAGUACCAUUCACGGUGCUAUAACCAGCCUAAAAGGCACAGUUUGAUCCGAAGUAAUGAACAGUUUCUUACCAUUACGGGAGAAUGACGAGAGACGUUAUGAACCAAGAGGGAAUACCUGGAGAGCGUAGAGCUGAGUCUCCUAAUGCUGAAGUGGAAGGGAGCUUAUAAAAAUGUUACAAAAGGAAUGACAGUGUUGACUAUGGACUUAUCAGCAUCAUGACAGGAAGAGGCUAUUGAAAGAAGCAACCACAUCAGAAAAUUGCAUACUUCUUUGGUAAAUGCUUUGUUUAAGCACAUGAUCAUGCUCUUACGAGUGCCUUGUGAACACCAUUUUUUGCCUCCUGGUAGCAGCAAGUGACAAAUGUCAACUCUUGGUGUACUUACCACAGGCUCGUCCUAGUAUGCCAUCUGCGUGGUUUGGCCCAUGCCCAAAGAAAAACAAUAACCACACCAUCACCUAUCAGAAAAUAAAAUUUGACCUAAAGUCAUCACAAAGCUUUCGACAGGCAUUAUGGCAACACAGAAUCAUAGCUUUUCAUGGGCAUAGCUUAAGGAAAAAAAAACCAAUACCAAAUACCACCAGCAACAAAUAAAAGCAGCAGGGCACCACAUGGCACCUUCAGAUAUUAAAUAAAACCAAGAAACAAAGAAAAAAAAAAGGAACAAAAACUAACCAAGCCACAAAACCCACACCUCUGCCACAGUAACUGCAAAUGUUCUCAGAACGGACGGGAGAUGAUCUUUGACAUUCAUCCAGUGUAAUUUUACUACUUAAAUGGGUACAUUCUCAGAGAUUAUUGCUCGGCUGGAAAGAAAUUAGGUACAAUUCUGAAGUGCAGUUGUUAGGAGUUUGUUUUAUAUGUUUGUUGUUAAGGCACUGAAUCAUGUUACAGUCUCUUUGUAGGUAGCAGAAAUGCUGUGAUUUCAAACAUCCAAAAUUUCCCAUUACACACAAGGAUCUUAAUUAACACUAAAUGGGGAAUUCAUAUUUUAUGUUUAGUUGAUUAUAAUCUAAAGAUUUAUAUGAAUGAAUAUUUGAUUUAUAUGAAUAUGAAGAUUUAAAAACCCUAUUUUUAUAGCUUGAUUACUAUAAAACUCACUCCAGCUUUAUCAGUGUGCUUCUUAGGUUUUGUUGUAGUUGUUCCAAAUUAAGCAUUAUCUUACAUGAGAGUAAGCUGCAUUGUUAGUCUCAAAUCCAUUUUACAAAUAGUUACAAUUGCAUCUUAAGAAGGUAAAGAAUAUUUUUGUAGGUGUCUCCACUUUUCAGUACUGUGUAUAUCCUUCUGUAUGCUUGCUAAUCUCUACCUUAGCUAUCAUCUGUUUUGUCUUUCUCUCAAAAAGAAAUUUGCUUUUUUUUUUUACUAAGAAUUAGGUUUUUUUUCCCCUCACCCCCUUUCUACCCCACUGGCUGCUUUCAAGUUUUCUUUUAGGAGGGGCUUCACUUUGUGUUAUCCUUACAUAUAAAAAUUCCCAGUAAGUAUUUUCAGAGAUCUGUGAGGUCAUAUUAGCCUGGAUUCCCUUCAUGCUUCUCUGGUGGAGGUAUAUUUGUUAUUUUGUCACCUAUCGGAGGCCCUGAUAUAGCUGCAGGUGACUGGGAAGGGACAUCCUUCCUUUGUAGCAGUAAAAUACUCACAGCCUCCUUUAUCACAGAACGUGCACCCUGCAACAGCCUCUAAGGGAAUGAAAGCAGAAAAAUGCUGCAGCUGCCAUGAAGAGGCAAAAAUUGAAACUAGCUCCAGAUUUAAAUUUCAGAGAGAUUCAAACAUCAGCAUUCUCAGCACUACCUUUUCAAAAAUACAACGCAGGUAAGAGCUCACAUUUCAAAAAGUUCAAGUGUUUUUCAGUUUAGAGUUUGGGCUCCAGCCUUCUGAGAGACCUUGGCUUUGUAACAUCCCAAAAUAUAGUUCAGUCAAAAAUAACAUUCUCCUAAUGGAAAGUUUUCUCCCAUUUCUUCACUUGAUAAAGCUGGUCAAAACAAGCCCUAUUUUGCCUACAGGAUUCAUUACUGUGUUAUAGCUCUUUAUAUUAGACUAGGUUUUCAAGGUAGCCCUUGGAGAGACUGUAUUUCUACUUUGUAAUGAUUUUACCAUAGGAAAAGUUUAUCUAGAAAGAUGCCUGGAAAACAGUGAGGCCACCAGGGAUUUUUUUUUUUUUUUUUUUAAGAAUCUAACUCCCCCUUAUAGAGUAAUCAGAGGGAUGUGUUAAGCUUGCUGCAUUCUCUUUCAAUCUUUUGUUGGAGUAUUGCAUUAUCAAGUUGCUUGCACUGUGAGAGGUUCAAGCAGUUGGGUUAGUGCAAAGCACAGUGACCAAGCACAAUGAAUGCAAGUCAGAAAUAAAACUAGGUUUUGGAGUGCAGAGCGACUGAUCUCUCACUUUGUCACUCAAGCAGAUGUUGCCAAAGGUGAGGAGCAAUUUUUUUUUUCUUGAAUUUAACUUGGCUGCCAAAUCAUGUACCACCUGAAUAGCCAGACACUGCACAGCUACUGGUUAGAUGCUUUUCAAACCUGUUUUCUGCCUCAGGGCUAUCAGAUGUGCAGCUGAGGUAAAGAUUUUUCCAUUGUCAUUCUCCUUAACUUGAGGACAUACUGCUCACUGCAGUAAGUAAAUGGUUGGGCUGCUUUAGAUCAUGAGAGGGCUUAUUUAAUUUAGGUGUUUAACAGUAUUAUUCCCCUCUUUCCUCUAUUUUUAAGGGGAGUUCUGCCCAGUAUGGGAACAAGCUACUAAUGAGCAGAGGAGAACUUCAUCCCAGAAGAUAGUUAUUAGAAAUCAAGGUGGAGGUAAAUGUAGCUUGAAAGAUCCAACCAAAACUGUCUGCCAAACAUACUGCUUUUUGAUAAUUGUGGCCUUCCAUAUACUCCAGCUACCUUUUAAUCAGUGGGAAUUUGUUUACAGGAGAAUUCUGAGAUCUGGUAACUUUCCUAUCCCUUUUCCAGGCUAUCUGUUUACCUUCUGGUAUCUCAGAAGCAUUCAGCAAAUAAGUCUCCAGAAAGACUGUUUGAGAACAGCUCCUACACAAGACUGUAACAAUAUAAGGAGGUGCACUUCAGAGUAGAAAUAUGAACCCUAAUAAUAGGUUUUUACUUAACAAUAUAAUCUCAUUUUUAGAAUUCUUGGGUUUGCCUCCUUCCAAAACAGCUGUGCUGUCUUGAUAAGAUUUUUAGGUUAUAAACAAGCAAAUAAAUAUCAGAAAUUGGACUUGUACAUGAAUAGGACCUAACAUUAUUAUUUUCCACUUCCUUCCCUUCCCCCCCCCCAACCCCCCCAAGUAUUUUCAUAGUCACACAUUUUCCUGUAAAGUGUAACCAUUACUGACCCCAUUACUAACAAAUCUCUCAGAAAACCCCACUUAAUAGGGAGAAACAUGAAAACCUCAAGAAACAAAAGGUAUCUGAUUUCCAAACAGAAUGCCUAUUUAAGACCAAACCUCAUUAGGGACAAGUCCUCCAGGCAAACAUCCUCUCAUUAUUUAUUGUCAUGGUUUACUGCAGAUUCCUCCGUGUAAUUCACAGUUGGCUUUUAAAUAAAUCUCUCUGUAUGGUAAAUGUGAUAUUCCUUCAUUUAAGCAGCAGGGUUAUCUUAAAACUGAGCAAGACCAAAAUUUCAUAUUUCAAAACUCAUAAACAGCUUAGAGCAUGACAGUAAUGCAAUGACGAGAAGAAAAAGUAUGACUGACAACAUAUGGUUGAAGAGUUUGGUAGCAGUGGUUAUACAAUGUAAUUCAUUUCAUGAUAAUAUAAGUCAGACUGCAAAGCAAAAGCAAUUAGGAAAUAAGUGAUGAUAAUGAAGAAUUACUCAUGGUGAGGAACUUCUCUAUAGUGGAAGGAUGGUUCUGUGUUCUAAUCAACAGUUAAGGCCUUAAAGCCCUGGAUUUAAAGCUCAGUAUCCUAUCCUUGGUCCUGAUUUUUAGAGGGUCAGUUGGGCCCAAGAGUAUGAAAAGUUCUGAGGUACUCUCAUCUGUUGGUGAAAUUGGUCCACAACUCCUACAGCUCAAGUGAGCAUCUGGAAAUGGGCAGGAGACAGCUGGAAGCUGGAAAGCUUCUCUUUCUCCUAAGGCAUACUGUGGUUUCCUUGCUUAUCUUAUCCAGGAGAUGGAAGUCUGGGAGAUCUCCCUACAUACUUUAAUCACAUCAAAGGGUUAACUAUGAUUUUGCCUAAGAUGAAAAGUGCUUGACCAUGAAUUCCAAUUCUUAUUGCAAUAAGAUGCUGAGAAUGGUUAAAGGAGCCCGGAGUACCUCCAUAAUUUGCAUCUCUGAUUAGAACAGGGUGAAGUUCUCUUCAAGGAGAAAGUCCUCUGGUGUGAUCCAUUUUUCUCCUGUAGCUAAAAAUUCUUGGGCUGAUUCAGCACCUGGGCUGAUGAGUUGGCCCCUGGAAGCACUCACCAUGGUUGCUCUUGAGGAAGCUGGAGGGGCAGCGCAGCGGAAAGUUUCUCUCCUCACCAGAGGACAUGCACGCAGCCCAGUGCUUGCCAGGACAAUGCCUCCUCCAUCCCUUUCUUGGCUCAGAGCACAGCGUCUACCACUACUCAUAAAAAAUACUGUCUCUUAAAUUUCAUAUUUACCACUUUGCGUAACAGAUUUUCUUAAACAAACAGAAAGCUGAUCAGGAUAAAUACCAGAAUAAGUGAAAACAGUUGUUUUUAAUCUCAGUGUGUUGAAUGCAGAUAUUGGCGUGAACAGAUUGCCUUUUUUAGUACACCUAUUAUAGUGUCACACCCAUUCUUUGCUGAAUGCAUACCUAUGAGACAGUGUGUGUGUGUGUGUGUGUGUGUAAUAAAACCCCUGGAUUAUUAAGCAUUUUUUCUAUUCUGCUAUGUCAGUCCAAAUUCACUUUGAAUACAAGAAUGAUGGAAUUGUUCAAUAUAUUGUGUGCAGAAGGUUACGACCUCUGCAGUCAGCCCCUGAAACACCACUGCUGUCUUCUUACUUCUGGGGUAGCUGAAAUGAAUUACAAGGCAGAGUCAUAAAGCCAGAACAUUUUACUAAAGCUAAGACCUCUGAAUAUGCAGUAUUUAAGCAUUUUUGUCCUCUCUCUCGUUCCCAAAUUACUUAAAAUCUGUGUAAGAUUUCAAAGAUGAAAACCAAGCAUACUGUUUUCACUUUUUAUCUUGUUUUUGAACAAGGUUUCAAUUCAACAACAGCUCAAAUGGGUGAAUAGCCUUUUGCAUGUAAUAAAAAUACCACAAUUUCUUCAUCCUUUUGUGUACACGCAUGGAAAGAGACAUCUUAAAAUUGUUAUCAUACAUAUCAUCAAGUAGAAAGACUUGGGUAUGAUUGGUUUGAAUGCUGUGGAGGAUAUACCACACUGAGCCACUCUUGUAACCCAGCCCAAAGGAUGGGUGAAUGCUUAUUGUUUGAAGGGGACAGAAGGAAUACUGUCAGUGAAAAUCAAAGACAAAAGUAAAACUGCCUUCCUCUGCACGUGAAGACAGUUCUUGUUAGUGCACAGACUGACCCAGACAAAUUGGAACACCUAGUGGAAAGUUAUCAUCUCCCCUCUGCAUUUCCACAUUAAUUGAACAUAGGCAAGAGCUCCAAACAAUCAGUUACUUUUCUUCCACACACACAGCAUCAGAAGGACACUCAAAAGAUAACCGACAAGCUAAAAUUCAAGUUACUGAAAUUUAUGAUUGCUGGCUGUUAUUCAGUAAAGUAUUUUAACACCAAAAUUUUAAUAAAGCUGCCGUAAAUAUUCCGUGCCCAUGGUGCCAAGGUUCAGCAGAUUCCUCUGUUAACACAACAGGUCUAACCGAGGGAACUUGAAGACUUCUCUGGCAAGAUCCUCUGAACAGAUGCAACUUGAAUAAUCUUUUGAAAAAUAAAGCCCUAUUUCCCCAUGCCUCAAUGGUACAAGGCCUCAAGGAAAAUGCAGACACAGCAAAAGGCCUAAAAGCCCAAUCUUAACCUCAGCACGCUCAGGGAAGAGCACUCUGCCUCCAAUUUGGGGAAGUCCAGGCUGUCCCACUCACAAAACGUUCUCUUUGUUCUCCACAGGAAUCACCUUGUACUGCUGAUAACUCACUUCUUUCCAAGGGUUUCAGGUUUAGGAUUCCCUUUGAUGCUAGAUUCACUGCUGGGAACAGUAAACUACUCUAGCUUUGAUGGAGCUGCAAUUAUUGCCUAUUGUCAGCUCUUCCGUUGUUUCCUCUAAAACUCUUAUUUAUGUCACCAUUUCAUUUUGGAUAGGUUUCCGCCUUGUUCCUUUCUGAUUUCAAUAAUGCCAUUCAGGGAAGUUAUAAAUCAGACAGCCUGAGGAGCACAUAUCAUUUUGAUAUAAGAAAUACAACAUGUCCUCAUUCUUUUUGCUAUAACAUACACGACUGAAAUCGCAUCAGCCACACCGGCGGUCCUUUGUCAGCUCUGCCUCUGCCUGUGCUGUUGCUACUGGAGUGGCAGCUGCAGUGAGAAUCACGAGAGCACAGAAGCAGUCUGGUGUGGGGCCGAGGGGUGUCCUGUUCUGCACACGUGUUGGCGCCGACAUGCCCGAGGAUUUCAGCUGCUUUGGAGCAUUUAAGUGUUACAUCGGGAGCCUAGUCUGGUAAUGGUAACCUAAGCUACAAGCAGCAGGGAGGUAUUUGUGCUGUGCUUUGCUUAGAGAAGCAUUUCGAGCCUGUGACACUGUCUGACACUGACUGAUUAAGAUACAGGUACUGCGGCGCUGUCAGGAAAGAAGAAAGAGGACUUGCAGUGCUGUUGCUGCUCACGGAUCUCCAGCAGAGCAGCAGCAAGGCACCAGCACACAGCAGCACCGUGCUCCGCCACCUCUUCUGAGAAUUACUGCCUAGCCAACCCUGAAGCGAUUCAGUAUGCACCACAUUUCCAGCACAGCCUGCCCCUCCACACAGACUCUGAAGGCUAUAUACCACGGGUGAUCAGAGCCUCAUGACAGGGGAGGGGAUUGUGAUGGAAAGAGUCAAAGGAGCUUUGAGAAGGACAAAAAUCUGAACACACUAAUGAGUUUUAUCAGGAAACCAUUAGGAAGACUGCUGCUGCAGCAAACAAGACCAGAACCUAACAGGGAGAGAAAGAGAGCUACCAAGCUAUGCUACAGAUACAGACAGGUCUUCAUUUUCUCUAUGGCUUUAAAGACUGCCAUUUUUAAAAAGGAAGCAUUCAAAUCUCUCUCUGAAACUCCUUUUUCUGGGUAUCCCCAAAGCUCACUCUACACCAUUGGUGUGAACUGUGAAAGGGAUUGCUUUGCCAGGCAAAGACAUUUAUCACUUGUGUAUUCUGUCUUGAGGAUAGGCUUUUCAGUUUUACUUAAAUUCUUGGGGCUUUCCCGGGUAGAAGAGACAGGUUCCCCUCCCCAUACCUUCUCUUGGCAAGAGAUGAAGUGUUAUUUCCCUCUUCUGAGGGUGAUGCUGAAGCACUCAGAAACAGUCACACAAGUUUUUAUCCAGGGUGUCCAGACUUAGGAAUGCCCUUCAGCUCAGAUCUACAUUUUCUGCCUUUUGGGAUCACCUCUCCUCCUUAUAGCUUGUGCUGGCAGGAAUACAAGCAACAAAAAGAAGUCUCAGCUGUCAUCAGAAACCUGAGAUCACUUCAGACUAUAGUUCUCAUUUGUGUGCCAAACCAGGUGCGUUUGUCGUCUUUGUGGUGCAAGUGUCCUUGUCCUCCAUGAGGCAGAGGCUGGAGGAGACUGGAAGGAUUCUGCUCUUCCUUGCACCAGGAAGGAGGCUCCUGGAAGCCCAGGAGCCUCUGUUCUCCAUUACAACUGUGCUGUUUUCAUCUUGGCUUUCUCAAUAAAUAUUUAGUGGACAAUUCACAUUUUCCCUCCUGCUCUGACUAACAGAGUUGAUUAUUGCUAGGGUCAGGUGAUUACAUGAGCUACUUAAUAUUCACAGGCAGCAGUAGGAAAUAAGUACAAACCCCAUCUCCUCAGCUUUAAUUACAAUAUCAGUGUUAUCAAAUUCCAUGUGGAUACACCUCCCAAAUCAGCUCCAAACAAUUUCAGAUGCGUAUACUAACAAGAUCCACAACAUCUUUAACUCCUGAUCUUCUGUCAUUACAAUAUAAUUACUCUAAUGCAUCUUUACUGCACAACACCCAUCGAAAAUAAGAACCGUUGAGUAUACCAUGUAAUUAUAGAAUAAAGAUGUUAAUGUAAGCUUCCAGCUUAAAGUGACUCUCAGCAUUUUUCUAGUUCCAUUAUUCAACAUUCAUUGGCAACUUGACUCCAACCUGCUCCCCUUCCUCUGUGUUUUCAUGACAUACUUAUGCAAUUCUGGCACUGCAGUGUCCCAGGUAGCAUUGAAACCCCAAUAGAAAUACUGCUUAAGAUUCAAUAAGGUGGCAAUAAAGUGGCCAAGGCUUUUUGAUUUUAGCUCUGGGGAUAGAGGUGAGAAAUAGAGAAAGGUGAGUCAGGGAAGAGACAAUGCAGUUUGCACCUUGCUGAGCUAUGGGUCAGUCUGGGCCUUGUGUAAACAUGACAGAAGAGGUUAGGAGAGAGAUGAUAGAGAACUGGUAUUGGCUAAUUAAGAUAGGGAAUAACCUUAAUUAAAUGCUGACAGAGGAAGAAACAAAAGUCAACUAGUUAGGGAGAACAGGAUAAGCUUCAGCUGGCCUUUUGGCAAGGAGAAAUGUCUGUAUUUCAGAAGACAAAGCAUAAGCCAGUGGAAUAACUGAGUCCAAGCCAUAAGGAUUACCUCUCCUAACUAUAGCUCUGCAAGCAAACAGAAAGACAAAUAAGAACUCUCUGGUGUGUUUGAUUUCCAGGAAUUGACUAAGAUAGGAAAGAACAAGAUGGAUAAUACAGAAAGUUUUGGAGAAGAAGCAUUCCUCCUCUGAAAGGUAAAGGCCCUUCUUGAGUCUGUGCCAGGUAAACCAUAAGAAAAGUGCAGCUGCUUCUUGGGGCGGUUCUUCAUCUCUGUUGAAGUUUGAGUGGAAAUGAAAAUUAAGAGCUGCUAGGCUGAUCUUCAUCUCCAUGCUUCACCUGUCAGAUUUAUACCAUAUGCCUUUGCUGAUGUUUUGUCAUAUCUCAGUUCAGUCUGUUCGCCUGUUAACUGUUUUGUGUCCCACGUGCUUAUAAUAAGGAUCAUAAAUACCCAAUGAAAGGUACAGCCAUCACUUUCAACAGAAUAAACUAUUCUUUUCUCUCUGGAAAAGACUCAGAAAUGAAAACAAAACUACUUUAGAAUAAGUUUUUUUUUUCAUUAGCAGCUAACUAGAACAUGGAAGAGGCAGUUCCUAGGGCAAACUCCUUCCUGACAGUCAUUUUGCAUCUACACCUUAAAGAGUUACCUUCAGAGACAGAUCCCAGCCAAGGAGAGAUGGGGAUAACGCAGUUUCAAGUAAGCUAGAAGCUAGCACAUAAUUCCAUUUGAACCCAGAAUUUAGCUCACUGCUUAGGGUGCAUGUAUAAAAAUAGGGGCAAUAUAUAUAGUUCAUACAGGGAAACAGAAAGAGGAUGGGAAUGGACAGGAUUUAUGGUUUCACAGGGGGUCAUUUCUAAUUUUAAGGAGAUUUGUCUGCCCUGUUUCUAGGGCAGCAGGCAGGAAGUUCCUAAAUGGAAAAGGAAAAUAUUGUUCUACUUGAACAUCACCCUGGCACUGUCAGAUGAUUCACAGGCCCUGGAGAACACAGACAUUACCAGCUCAGCACAUCUAUAUACCAAUCACCAUUUGUCAUAUGCGAGUACUUCCCACAGUCCUAAAAAAGGAUUGGUUUUGUGUAUUAUUUGCUGGAAAUGUAACAAACUUCAUACUGAACAGCAAAAUAAAAACAGUACUUGAUUGUUUUAUUGACUGUUUGCCUAUUUACUUGGGAAAACUUCACUUCAGGAUUCUUUAUGCAAUCUAAUAAAAGGACCCCCACAGCUG